Telopea speciosissima is the source of this 139-nucleotide long non-coding RNA. RefSeq lists it as uncharacterized. The record is from RefSeq and is a predicted model, not a curated record. The transcript has 3 exons. Lineage: Eukaryota; Viridiplantae; Streptophyta; Magnoliopsida; Proteales; Proteaceae.
AAAUGAUUUUUUUUUUCGCACUCAUUUGUUCUUGCUUAUAUUGUUCUUGAAAUUGACACCACAUUGUAGUGACCUAUCUGUAAAUGAUUUCUUUUUCAUUAGCACCCCAUUGAUAUUAUGUUUGUAGUUCAAUGAGGUU